CCUACGGGUGGCAGCAGUGGGGAAUAUUGGGCAAUGGGCGCAAGCCUGACCCAGCAACGCCGCGUGAAGGAAGACGGCUUUCGGGUUGUAAACUUCUUUUGUCCGGGGCGAAGCAAGUGACGGUACCUGACGAAUACGCCACGGCUAACUACGUGCCAGCAGCCGCUGUAAUACGGAGGUGGCAGGCGUUAUCCGGAUUUACUCGGUGUAAGGGGCGUUUAGGCGGGACUGGAAGUCAGAUGUGAAAACCACGGGCUCAACCUGUGGCCUGCAUGUGAAACUGUAGUUCUUGAGUACUGGAGAGGCAGACGGAAUGCCUAGUGUAGCGGUGAAAUGCGUAGAUAUGAGGAGGAACACCAGUGGCGAAGGCGGUCUGCUGGACAGCAACUGACGCUGAGGCGCGAAAGCGUGGGGAGCAAACAGGAUUAGAUACCCGAGUAGUC
This 443-nucleotide ribosomal RNA is filed under the name uncultured bacterium. Its description in RNAcentral is "partial 16S ribosomal RNA". It matches the Rfam family "Bacterial small subunit ribosomal RNA", at positions 338 to 795 of the family's 1533-position model. The record is from RNAcentral.